UCUCCGAACAGUUUUUCUUUCCGCAAUUUUUUAUACUCUGACAAACUAUUAAAUUUAAAUAUAAUUCGGAGAUUUCUUUCGAAAAUCUUUACCGCUCCGGGCCUGUGGUAUGUAAAUGUCAUAAUUUGCACCUCGUUCUGUUCCAAAUUCCCGAGUGUGGAGUUUGGGAGAGAUCCGAGUAUAUCUGUAACUUAAUGGGCUCGAAUGGUAACAAUUUGUUUAAUUUCCUGGCAUUAUCUGCAAAGAAAAAAAAAAUGUAGGAAUAAAGAUGACACGGGUGCUCCACCUAUUGGACUCAAAGGAAGCAAUAACUCCGACGGUGAGGCAGAAUUUAUAUUAACACUCGCGCCUUUUGAUUUUUAUGACUUCCUCCAGGAACUAACACGUGACGGAUACAGAUGUAGAAAGUCAUUUUCCGGAACGCCAACCUUCUCUUCCCCUUCUCUCAGUUUCUGCGUCUUUCAUCCACCCCCGUGACACGAUUGGGUGAAGAAAAAAAGGCCCCCGACCACUAACAAUAUGCAUUUGUUUAUCACUCCACUCUUGGUGUUUUUCCUCUAGAUAUUAAUUACUAGACACCUAAUCAAUUCACUAGCCACCCAUGGGACGCGUGUUGGCACAAAUUGUUGCUAAUUAAAUAAUGGCAUUAUUAUCAUAACUGGGAUACCUUUUUUUUUCCUAACGCGUCCGUUUAGAACCGGGACACCUCGUUGGCUGGAGCAAUAAUUUUAAAAUAUAUACGACAUUUAUCGUCAUCCCCCACCAUGCAAACUCUUCGUUAUGUUUUGGUAAUCUUUCUGUUUUCGUGACCUCCCCAUUCCCAAGAUUUUCGUCUAGACAAGUAUGUAGGGGAGAAAGAUCAUAAAUCUAGUGCCGAGAAAAUGACCUAUUUAUGCAGUUGGUGUGUGGACAUUUGCAUUUGAGUGCUGUCUCGCGUCCGUUAUUUACUGGUCCUAUAAAUCCGGUGGGAAAGUCGCGCUUAGCAUGUUUUUGCAUCAGAUAACAUCAUCUGGCAUGGUGACAGCGAUUUUCUUCCAUAUCACUUUCGUGUGCUGCCCUCUACAAGUCGUCAUUUUUUUUUCCCUUCUUCUUCUUCUUCUUCCUCCGCUUGUUCCAUAAAGUAUUCAUUACGCUCUAUUAUCCACAGAUGCUUCCGAAAUACGUUCAAUUUUGACAUAGGUCGGAUAUUUUUAAUUAAGAGACGUUAAGCGAGAAAAUAUUUGGUGGUAACUCCCGAUGUGCCAAAAUUGCCAUUUUGGGGAAUACAUUUAAGCGAGUGUAAUACGAAAU
This 1290-nucleotide long non-coding RNA is filed under the name Androctonus crassicauda. Lineage: Eukaryota; Metazoa; Arthropoda; Arachnida; Scorpiones; Buthidae. The record is from RNAcentral.